AUUUUCACAAAGGAGUGCUUUGGCUGAGAUCGUUAAGACGAAAUCCUAAAGACCUGAUCUUGUUAAUACAAGCGUAGGGAUUGUGACCGUGAUAAUG
Non-coding RNA from Streptococcus parauberis NCFD 2020, 97 nucleotides. Lineage: Bacteria; Bacillati; Bacillota; Bacilli; Lactobacillales; Streptococcaceae. The record is from Rfam.